AGGCAGAAAACCUAUUUCAGGAACUUCAAGAACAUUUUCAAGCUCUAACUGCAACUCUGAACCUCAGAAAUAUCCUUUCUAUCUUAUAACAAAUACUAUAAUGCUUUUGAACUGUAAUAUUAUCAAGGAAUAUCUUUUGUCUGCUAUUAGUGGAUAAUUGUUGACCUACGAUGUCCUGGUGUUUACAUUGUGCCUUUCCAUGAUAUCCUGGUGUAUUAACUACCACCCACAGGUCAUUACUUCCUGCCUGGCCAGCCAUCAGGGCAUUUUGUAUGAGAGCAAUACGAUACAAGGACGCAAUGCACGAUACUACCCAGUGGGGCUUUCUGAGCCUACAGACUACUAAAUCUGAGUAGUCUGCUGAAUAACAUCUAUGCACUUCCACGGAAUCAGAAACUUGCAAACAUCACAUGGAAUGUCUCCAACCGAGGAUACUAUAUAUGGCUCUCCUGACCUUUGUUUUGUUUGGUUUUGCAACUUCAGCAGCCAUUUUAAGACAUGAAUUCAAACAGAAUUAGAGUAAAAUGUUUGUUUCCAGUUUGAGCAAAUCCAGAUAAGCUGUAAUAUCGGUCCUAAGACUUAGAGCGCUAGAGCUCACUUUACUAAUUGAAUUCGUUCCAUAGAAAUUGUUUAAAAAAGGGGCGCCUGGGUGGCUCAGUCGGUUCAGCAUCCGCUUGAGGCUCAGGUCAUGAUCUCACGUCUGUAGGUUCAAGCCCCCUGUGGGGCUCUGUGCUGACAGCUCGGAGCCUGGAGCCUGCUUCGGAUUCUGUAUCUCCCUCUCUCUCUUUCAAAAAUAAACAUUUUAAAAAAUUAAAAAAGAAAAAAGAACUGAGCUUACAAUUCAGAGGUUAAAGACACACUCCAAAAACCUCAGGGGAAUAGUUAAUUUGCACUGACCUUAAGGUAUUAGUACGCGUAGUCUUUGAAUCCCUCGUUUUAAGUGUUGCACUGCCAGGGCAUUUUAUCAAUAGGCUCGAUGAGUAGCUGCAAUCUGAAGGAUCUCUCAGGACUUUCUGGCUGGUGCUCUGUACCCUGUGUAAAAUUCUCCUUAACGUUGUACUGGAAGAAAUGGGAAAUCGCAUCGAAGAUUUACAGAAGAAUGUGAAUGACUUAAUGGUGCAAGCUGGGAUUGAAAAUUCUAUUAAAGAACAAAUGGUAAGGCCAUUAUUAGGAAACUAAAUAUGUUUGUCUUUUGCAUAUCUUUUGAUUGCUUUCAUCUUGAAAAAUACAAUCCCGUAUUUGUUCACUGUGGGGACUAUUGCCUCUGUACUUCAUGGAAAAUCUUCAGGAAUAAUAAGACAUUUACAAAUGCUCUUUUCUAAAUAGACUAAGAGAAACACUCCUUGUCAUAGUUCCUUAAAAAGUGUACAGUUUAUUUAUUUAAAAAAUUUUUUUUAAUGUUUAUCUAUUCUUGAGAGAUAGAGACAGAGCACAAGCAGGGGACGGGCAAAGAAAGACACAGAACCUGAAGCAGGCUCCAGGCUCGGAGCCGUCAGCACAGAGCCCAACGCAGGGCUCGAACCCACAGACUGCAAGAUCAUGACCUGAGCCGAAGUCAGACACCCAACUGACUGAGUCACCCAGGCGCCCCAAAAAGUGUACAGUUUAUUUAUUUAUUUUUUAAUUUUUUUUUUAACGUUUAUUUAUUUUUGAGACAGAGAGAGACAGAGCAUGAAUGGGGGAGGGUCAGAGAGAGGGAGACACAGAAUCGGAAACAGGCUCCAGGCUCCGAGCUGUCAGCAUAGAGCCCGACGCGGGGCUCAAACUCACAGACCGUGAGAUCGUGACCUGAGCCGAAGUCGGCCGCUCAACUGACUGAGCCACCCAGGCGCCCCAAAAGUGUACAGUUUAAAUGACGAGCUCUACUAUUUAAAAAAUGGAUGUUAUUAAAGUGCUUUUCACAACCACCCCUCAAAUUAGUCUUCUAUCAAAACACAAAUCAUGAUGAAUUGGAGACUGGGGAUUAUGACGUGGUUUCUGUUUCAGACAAUAUAUUUAUAUAACCAUUUGAAGAAGACAUACGGGCGUUAAGCCCUCAACCCGUUUCUCAGUGGUUCGUGGGCCGUCCAUCCUGGCCUCCCACAAUGCAAACCUUUCCAGUGGAAUGUUGCAUUUAAUCUUGAAGAUCCGAGUAAAUGCUUGGCUUCAGGUCUCAGACUGGAUCUGUAUCUAUGUGCUGUAUGUGGAGGUUCACAACUUCAUUAAGAUACUUAUGUCUAUUUUAUUCUGACAGAUAAGAAUAAUAGGUUAUUCUCAUUGAACGAUUAGGUGUCUUUGUUUCCCUUGUUUUACUGUCUCUUUUAUAAUUAUCCUAAGUCAGCUGGCAAAUGAUCCCCACUUAAUCCUGCUAAAUCAGGGCCAGUUCACCUAUCAGCGACUUACAAAUACCCACAUCUCGUAUCCUGGUAACAAAGGUAAUCGUAACCUGCGUCCCGCUGCCACCGUAAAACGCUGCAGAGGACGCUCUGUCUCUGAGGUGAAGACAUAGCUUCAAUCAGGCUCCCUCGACGGGGCCCACCAGUCCUGAGGCGGGGCGAGCAAGCCCUCCCCCGCCCCCCUGCAGGGCUGACUGAGUGAGAAGAGGAGAGCCUCAGGGCAGGAAGCCCUGUGCCCAGAAGAGAUCUGGCACACUGCAGGCAUGGGAUGGCAGCCAGGUGACCAGGUCCCUGCCCUCCAUCACUCAGAUCUAGCUGCUGUUUUAAAUUUGGUCGAAACCACUAAAUAUUAGGCAUCAAGUUAAGUGAUCAAGUAGGUGUGGAAACCUCACUACGUGAUGUGCACGCAGCCUGAGAGAAGGUCAGACCUCCAAGUGUGUUUAAAAGUGGUACUGCCUUCUAAAUGAAAAGACCUAAACAAACUGAGAUGUUUGCACAAAUCUGUACUUGUUGGUUGUGCUUGGUCGCACUAGGUCAGGGUUAACACAGGGCUGGCUUGUGCUGUAAAUCUCAGGGGAUUGUGCACACCCCUCAAACCUGUGUUCCAGUUGUGGGGAACCCAAGAUGUUAAAAACUACUGUUCUAUAUUCCGAUAGAUCUGGUACUUUGUCCGUCUCCCCAUUAAAUGACGUUGUAACACCUUUCCCGCAAUUACUUAGGCACAGAUAGGCGGUGAGUGUGUGGGUGGAGGGAGCAGGGCGCUUCCCUCUGGGGUACUGUGUGCUCAGUCACCGCGGUGGAAUACUGAUGCAGGAGUCACGUUUCGGUAAGAGAACGUGCCGUUUAUUCACCUGCAGUUGUGAACCCACACUGACUCCAUCCAUCAAACAUGAAAAAUUUGUGGUUUUCUAUACACUCAAUUUUUCCUAUCCACAAAAUGUUUUAAUAAUUAAGGGAAAUUGGGGCACCUGGGUGGCUCAGUCAGUUGAGCCCCUGACUUCGGCUCAGGUCACGAUCUCACAGUUAGUUUGAGCCCCAUGCGGGUCUCUGUGCUGACAGCUCAGAGCCUGGAGCCUGCUUCGGAUUCUGUGUCUCCCUCUCUGUCUGCCUCUCCCCUACUUGUGCUCUCUCUGUCUCUCUCUCUGUUUCUCUCUCUCAAAAAUAAAUAAACAUUAAAAUUUUUUUUUUAAUUACAGGAAAUUAAGGUAUUUUACUGAAAGCUUUGGAUUCCAGGUUAUUUAACUGUGCAUUAAUUGGUAUAUAAAUCAACCAUUACCUCUUUCAAAUUUUUUCUUACAGACCUGAAGACUUGAAAAUAUGAUAAAGUCAAAGUUGUACUUUUUGAAUGACAAUUUGCAUAGUAUGUGUUCUGGUUUUUACUAUUUAAUUUAAAAAUUCAUUUUAAUGAAGUGAAAGAUUAAAAGAACAAUGCAAUAAGAACAUAGUUUAGAAGGUGAUUAACCACUUGACCCAGAUGGUUCUAAAAUGGCAGAACAUCUUUCAACGCAUACCUAGUAUUUACAAGUCAUGGGAGGGAAGCUUAAGCUAUAUCAGGUCAGCUCUUUUUCCUGAAUUAAGUUCUAGAUAGAUCUUUUUAAAAAAUCAUAAGCUGUUUUGUGACUGAGAUUUCUUUUUCAAUACCUGCAUUCCAACUCAGCUUUUCCAGUCAUAUGGUUCUCUGGCUGGUCCAAACACAUUCUGAUAGCAAUGUUCUCCAAACCAAACAAAACCCCGGAAAACAGCCCGCCUCGUCCCAGGCCACCCUUGCCCAGUCUGCUCCUAAGGAGGAGGUCACCAAGAAGAAGCACAAAGAUCACAGUUCAGCUUCUUCUGUAGGUUAUAUAGAGACGUUUUCAAAUAAUUAUCCAAUUUGCCUCUCUGAGCCAAAGUAAAGCAGAACAGGGUCGGUAAUAGGCUCUCAUUGUAAAAAUAACACGAUUCCUGCAUAUGAGAUAGAUUUUAUUCUUCAUACAAAAGUCAAAACCACCCAUAAUUCUACAAUUUAAAUUGAAUUAGCCACUUAAACAUUUUUCUGUACAUACAAUUCUAUAUAUGGUUGAUGAUGAUGUUUAUAAUCUCAUAUCCUGUUCUCUUCAUAUCAUAAACAUUUUUCCAUCUGAAAAUUUCACACACUUCUUAUAUUUUUUUUUAUGGCUGACUACUAUUCUAUCAUAUGGAUGUAAUAAUUUAACCAUUUCCUUGACUGUUCCUUGGACAUUGACGGUAUUUCCCACCAUCUUGCUACUAUAAAUAAUGCUGUAAGGAACACUGUUACCAUGAAUUCUCUGCAUGUUUCAUUAGGGUCAGAAGUGUGACUGAAGACCGAGUACAUUAGUCAAAUGCAUUUAAGAAAUGAAGCAUCAUUUUAUACUCCCAACAGUGGUGUAUGUCUUUCCUUUUUUAAUCCAAAGUUUUAAAAUGGCAUCAUUUAUAUUCAGUAUUCUGGGGCGCCUGGGUGGCUGUCGGUUAAGCGUCCGACUUCA
This 4858-nucleotide long non-coding RNA is filed under the name Lynx pardinus (Iberian lynx). The record is from RNAcentral. Lineage: Eukaryota; Metazoa; Chordata; Mammalia; Carnivora; Felidae.